This 465-nucleotide ribosomal RNA is filed under the name uncultured bacterium. RNAcentral describes it as "partial 16S ribosomal RNA". It matches the Rfam family "Bacterial small subunit ribosomal RNA", at positions 339 to 795 of the family's 1533-position model. The record is from RNAcentral.
CUACGGGAGGCAGCAGUGAGGAAUAUUGCGCAAUGGGGGCAACCCUGACGCAGCGACGCCGCGUGGAUGAUGAAGGCCUUCGGGUCGUAAAAUCCUGUCAGAUGGAAAGAAAUGCCAGAUGUCUAAUAUAUGUCUGGUUUGACGGUACCAUCAAAGGAAGCACCGGCUAACUCCGUGCCAGCAGCCGCGGUAAUACGGAGGGUGCAAGCGUUGUUCGGAAUUACUGGGCGUAAAGCGCGCGUAGGCGGCUUUUUAAGUCAGAUGUGAAAGUCCACGGCUCAACCGUGGAAGUGCAUUUGAUACUGGGAAGCUUGAGUACUGGAGGGGAUGGUGGAAUUCCCGGUGUAGAGGUGAAAUUCGUAGAUAUCGGGAGGAAUACCGGUGGCGAAGGCGACCAUCUGGCCAGAUACUGACGCUGAGGUGCGAAAGCGUGGGGAGCAAACAGGAUUAGAUACCCCGGUAGUC